ACGGGAGGCAGCAGUGGGGAAUAUUGCGCAAUGGGGGAAACCCUGACGCAGCGACGCCGCGUGAGUGAAGAAGUAUUUCGGUAUGUAAAGCUCUAUCAGCAGGGAAGAAAAUGACGGUACCUGACUAAGAAGCCCCGGCUAACUACGUGCCAGCAGCCGCGGUAAUACGUAGGGGGCAAGCGUUAUCCGGAUUUACUGGGUGUAAAGGGAGCGUAGACGGCUUUGCAAGUCUGAAGUGAAAGCCCGGGGCUCAACCCCGGAACUGCUUUGGAAACUGCUAAGCUAGAGUGCAGGAGAGGUAAGUGGAAUUCCUAGUGUAGCGGUGAAAUGCGUAGAUAUUAGGAGGGACACCAGUGGCGAAGGCGGCUUACUGGACUGUAACUGACGUUGAGGCUCGAAGGCGUGGGGAGCAAACAGGAUUAGAUACCCUGGUA
RNAcentral lists this ribosomal RNA (434 nucleotides) under uncultured Clostridium sp. RNAcentral's name for it is "partial 16S ribosomal RNA". It matches the Rfam family "Bacterial small subunit ribosomal RNA", at positions 341 to 792 of the family's 1533-position model. The record is from RNAcentral. Lineage: Bacteria; Bacillati; Bacillota; Clostridia; Eubacteriales; Clostridiaceae.